Long non-coding RNA from Prinia subflava (tawny-flanked prinia), 709 nucleotides. RefSeq lists it as uncharacterized. NCBI's taxonomy places the organism in Eukaryota, Metazoa, Chordata, Aves, Passeriformes, Cisticolidae. The record is from RefSeq and is a predicted model, not a curated record. The transcript is spliced from 3 exons.
CGGCGGGGCCGCCCCUCAGCGCGAACCCGGCACGGGCCGCGGGGAAACAAAAAUCACCUCUCCAACCUCCGGGUGGGAAAGUCGGCAUUAAAGAUUCAGCCUUGAAAGGACAUGGGGAUGGCCCCCACAACAUGCACGACUCAGGCAAAUCACCUCACCAUCACUUUGCACAGUAUUUUAAUGGCCAAGGAUUCACAAGAGGAGCCAGGCAAGGAUAUGCUUGGUGAAAAGUACUGAGCAAGACAAGCACUGGGCAGAGCAGGUGACACUUCUGAGGCAGACAGGAUUGGCAAGUGGCUGAAAAAUGUGGAAGUCACCUUAUGCCCUAAAUCAAAGCUUCACUGCCCAAACCAGAAGAAAAACAGAGUCAUCACUACAGAAAGAUACACCAUAUUCAGAUUGUCCAAGGGAAAGUGUUCUGCUGUAUUUAUAUCCUGCCUCCCAUUUCUCUGACCUCACUGCUCAAUCUGAAGUACAGACUGCAUUCCAUUCUUCAGACAUCUGGGAAAAUUGUCAGGUUUUUGCUUUUACCUAAAGGGUCUCCCUUUCCACUGAAGUGCAUGGGGACAUACAGAGGUCGCUUUGGUUCCAUUUAGGAAAUUGUUGCUGAUUUUUUUUUUCUCAAGACUUUGAUGACAGUCAGUGUUACUAGUGAUACCAAGAAAGCAGUAGGCAUUCAUGAGAUAAAAAUAUUAUGGUCAGCAUAAGA